GACGAACGCGGGCGGCGUGCUUAACACAUGCAAGUCGAACGAGAGGACAUGAAAAGCUUGCUUUUUAUGAAAUCUAGUGGCAAACGGGUGAGUAACACGUAAACAACCUGCCUUCAAGAUGGGGACAACAGACGGAAACGACUGCUAAUACCGAAUACGAUCCGAAAGUCGCAUGACAUUUGGAUGAAAGGGUGGCCUAUCGAAGAAGCUAUCGCUUGAAGAGGGGUUUGCGUCCGAUUAGGUAGUUGGUGAGGUAACGGCCCACCAAGCCGACGAUCGGUAGCCGGUCUGAGAGGAUGAACGGCCACACUGGAACUGAGACACGGUCCAGACUCCUACGGGAGGCAGCAGUGGGGAAUCUUCCGCAAUGGACGAAAGUCUGACGGAGCAACGCCGCGUGAGUGAAGACGGCCUUCGGGUUGUAAAGCUCUGUGAUUCGGGACGAAAGGCCAUAUGUGAAUAAUAUAUGGAAAUGACGGUACCGAAAAAGCAAGCCACGGCUAACUACGUGCCAGCAGCCGCGGUAAUACGUAGGUGGCAAGCGUUGUCCGGAAUUAUUGGGCGUAAAGCGCGCGCAGGCGGUCUCUUAAGUCUAUCUUAGAAGUGCGGGGCUUAACCCCGUGAGGGGAUGGAAACUGGGAGACUGGAGUAUCGGAGAGGAAAGUGGAAUUCCUAGCGUAGCGGUGAAAUGCGUAGAUAUUAGGAAGAACACCGGUGGCGAAGGCGACUUUCUGGACGAAAACUGACGCUGAGGCGCGAAAGCGUGGGGAGCAAACAGG
Molecule: ribosomal RNA, 779 nt
Filed under: uncultured Dialister sp.
Lineage: Bacteria; Bacillati; Bacillota; Negativicutes; Veillonellales; Veillonellaceae
Description: bacterial SSU rRNA
Rfam family: Bacterial small subunit ribosomal RNA
Source: RNAcentral